Molecule: ribosomal RNA, 201 nt
Filed under: uncultured bacterium
Lineage: Bacteria
Description: partial 16S ribosomal RNA
Rfam family: Bacterial small subunit ribosomal RNA
Source: RNAcentral
GCAGUCUGCAACUCGACUGCAUGAAGCUGGAAUCGCUAGUAAUCGCGAAUCAGCAUGUCGCGGUGAAUACGUUCCCGGGUCUUAUACACACCGCCCGUCACACCAUGGGAGUCGGAUAUGCCCGAAGCCGGUGACCUAACCGCAAGGAAGGAGCCGUCGAAGGUGGAGCCGAUGACUGGGGUGAAGUCGUAACAAGGUAUC